AACGAACGCUGGCGGCAUGCCUAACACAUGCAAGUCGAACGAGACCUCCGGGUCUAGUGGCGCAUGCGUGCGUAACGCGUGGGAACCUGCCCUUAGGCUCGGAAUAACUCCCCGACAGGGGUGCUAAUACCGGAUAAUUUCCUCGGACCAGAGGUUUAUCGUCUUUGCAUGGGCGCGAGUUGGAUUAGCUAGUUGGUAGGGUAAAAGCCUGCCAAGGCGACGCUACAUAGCUGGUCUGAGAGGAUGAUCAGCCACACUAGGGCUGAGACACGGCACAGACUCUUGCGGGAGGCGGCAGAGGGGAAUAUUGGACAAUGGGCGAGAGGCUGAACCAGCGAUGCCGCGUGAGUGAUAAAGUCCGGAGGGUAGUGAAGGACUUUUAGACGGGAUGGUGAUGACAGUACCGGGAGAAUAAGCACCGGCUAACUCCAUG
This 433-nucleotide ribosomal RNA is filed under the name uncultured bacterium. RNAcentral describes it as "partial 16S ribosomal RNA". It matches the Rfam family "Bacterial small subunit ribosomal RNA", at positions 29 to 507 of the family's 1533-position model. The record is from RNAcentral.